CCCCUACCCCCGCCCAGGGACUAAUUAAUCCAGUCAAGUUCACAGUGGAUAUUAAGUUCCACAGACUACCAGAAUGUAACUCUAGGCUACCACUCCAACACUAUGUCUGCCUGCAUGCUACCAUGCUUCCUGCCACGAUGACAAGAAACUUAACCUCUGAAACUCCGUGAGUGUCACUAGAAAACUUCUGAGUCACUUCUGUGAUCCUCCUCCUGGUUUUGUCCACUUGGUUUCCUCAGGAGGAUCUGAGUUGUACACAUCCCGGUCAUAUUUGCUUUGACUGAAAAAUUGCUUGCAUUACAUUGAUUUAAGACAGUUCAGCAACAAGAAAAGAAAGCAAGCUCUGUGUACACUGAAUAUGGAAGUUUUCAACGCAGUUCAGCGCUGCUGUUAGGACUUCAGCAGCAAAGGUCAGGAGGCAGCGCUGCAUCUGCCUGAGAACUUUACAGAGGCCGCAGCAAAGCUUCCUUUGUUCCUCCUGCCAGGCCGUGUCCAGGAGCAUGCUCCAGUCUCCGGAAAGCAAUAGUUUUCCAGAUCUCCCCGCCCUCCCCCCCCACCCAUCGCCCCCGCCUCUUCCCACUUCCUGUCCCUUCUUCUAGAUCUUAUGUAGGUACUUCUUACUGGCAGAGUGAUGGAAACCCAGAAGAAAAUGG
Mastomys coucha (southern multimammate mouse) is the source of this 653-nucleotide long non-coding RNA. RefSeq lists it as uncharacterized. Lineage: Eukaryota; Metazoa; Chordata; Mammalia; Rodentia; Muridae. The transcript has 4 exons. The record is from RefSeq and is a predicted model, not a curated record.